CAGGCUUUGCCGCUGGAAAGGUAUAGCAUGCCCACUAAAGCUGGAAAUUAAACAAAUAAUUCCUGCAUUGCAAGGCCUCUUUGUUAAAGGAGAUUUCAGUUUGGCUGGUCACUCACCACAGUGACUCCUUCAGCCAGUCUUUGUAUUCUUCUUAUGAUUACUGCUGCUGCAGGUGGCACGCUGUGGCUAUGAAGAGGCAGAAGAGCCGGCCUGAUCAGACAAAGAGCAGAUAGAAAGGGCUGCUAGAAUUGGAGAAGCAACAGAAGAAUGAAAAACCCUUGGUGUUAGAGCUACCAUCCAGCCCAAGAAGAGUCCACCACCUGUGAAAUAGAAACCAGAA
This 340-nucleotide long non-coding RNA is filed under the name Dasypus novemcinctus (nine-banded armadillo). Its description in RNAcentral is "lncRNA (ENSDNOG00000051178.1)". The record is from RNAcentral. Lineage: Eukaryota; Metazoa; Chordata; Mammalia; Cingulata; Dasypodidae.